This 497-nucleotide ribosomal RNA is filed under the name uncultured bacterium. Its description in RNAcentral is "partial 16S ribosomal RNA". It matches the Rfam family "Bacterial small subunit ribosomal RNA", at positions 28 to 507 of the family's 1533-position model. The record is from RNAcentral.
GAUGAACGCUGGCGGCGUGCCUAAUACAUGCAAGUCGAGCGAACGGACGAGAAGCUUGCUUCUCUGAUGUUAGCGGCGGACGGGUGAGUAACACGUGGAUAACCUACCUAUAAGACUGGGAUAACUUCGGGAGACCGGAGCUAAUACCGGAUGAUAUUUUGAACCGCAUGGUUCAAAAGUGAAAGACGGUCUUGCUGUCACUUAUAGAUGGAUCCGCGCUGCAUUAGCUAGUUGGUAAGGUAACGGCUUACCAAGGCAACGAUGCAUAGCCGACCUGAGAGGGUGAUCGGCCACACUGGAACUGAGACACGGUCCAGACUCCUACGGGAGGCAGCAGUAGGGAAUCUUCCGCAAUGGGCGAAAGCCUGACGGGGCAACGCCGCGUGAGUGAUGAAGGUCUUCGGAUCGUAAAACUCUGUUAUUAGGGAAGAACAUAUGUGUAAGUAACUGUGCACAUCUUGACGGUACCUAAUCAGAAAGCCACGGCUAACUACGUG